GACGAACGCUGGCGGCGUGCUUAACACAUGCAAGUCGAACGGAAAGGCCUCUUUCGGGGGGUACUCGAGUGGCGAACGGGUGAGUAACACGUGAGUAACCUGCCCUUGACUUUGGGAUAACUUCAGGAAACUGGGGCUAAUACCGGAUAGGAGCUCCUGCUGCAUGGUGGGGGUUGGAAAGUUUCGGCGGUUGGGGAUGGACUCGCGGCUUAUCAGCUUGUUGGUGGGGUAGUGGCUUACCAAGGCUUUGACGGGUAGCCGGCCUGGGAGGGUGACCGGCCACAAUGGGACUGGGAUACGGCCCAGACUCCUACGGGGGGCAGCAGUGGGGAAUAUUGCACAAUGGGUGGAAGCCUGAUGCAGCAACGCCGUGUGCGGGAAGACGGCCUUCGGGUUGGAAACCGCUUUCGCUCAUGACGAAGCUUUGUGUGACGGUAGUGGGUAAAGAAGCACCGGCUAACUACGUG
Molecule: ribosomal RNA, 467 nt
Filed under: uncultured bacterium
Lineage: Bacteria
Description: partial 16S ribosomal RNA
Rfam family: Bacterial small subunit ribosomal RNA
Source: RNAcentral